UGACGGGCUGCGUGACGGUGCAAACGCUUUAUUGAAACUCACUUGUGCCUCUUUUCGCAUGACACGUCAUCCAGGAAGUUGCUGUCUUCCAACGAUCCUUCUUUCUUUUCUCUGUCUCUCUCUCCUCUUCGCAUUUCGUUUCACGGCUCGCACCACAUUCGUCUGUCUCUCUCUCCCACCCACUUCCGCCCCGAGCCCCAGACCGCUUCACGGUGACGUGGGCGGGGCGGACAGCACAGAGGUGGAAACAAGGCUGGUGUCGGAAGCGAUCGGAGCACAAAAACACAAAUAUAUUGGUCGGAGGAGCGUCGCAGGAUACGAGGACGGGCCGCUGGCGGGGCGGGGGCGCCAGUCCACAGCAAAGCCAGGGGCACAUGGUAUAGUGAAUCACCAAGCCGGGACAGGAACUGCGCCCAAGGGGUCCUCCAAAACUGAGUGUAGAUUUUCUUGCUGAGUACAGUUUGCGCUAGAGUUGAGCCCAUUCGACUCAAAACAAGCGCAAUCCAUAACGGGUGCAUGUAAAAAUAUGACGAGGGGGAAGGGAGGUUACGCAGCGCUGCGACGGCCGCCCCUAACGGCCGCCAGUCACGGCACGCCGCCUCCAGGACACCGUCAGGACGCGGUGACCGGGGCCUCCAGCGGCAUUCUCCACACGGCGACCGGAGGCUCCGGCUGGUAGGUGGUCUACCCCAGCUGCGCAGAGGCCUCCAGGACACGGUGACGGGAGCCACCAGCGGCACAUUCUGCACACGCCGACCAGAGGCUCCGGUGACCUCCGGAACACGAUGGUUGAGGUCUACUACAGCUGUGCCCCCCGGACGCGAGCCCUAGGACCCUCGAAACAAUUGUCGUUUCGCGAUAUAGUCAAUCUAAUUUUUUGAACAAACUUUUGUCAGACUUUUUUUUAUCUCACGCCGUAUGUGUUGGACGUUUCAGAGGUGUCCGUGUCCUCUGUACAAUUUUGUCUCAUAUAUUAUUAAGACAGGCGCAGCGCCGAUAGAGUAAUAGAGGGUCUCCGAAAAGGUCACCGCAACUACUAACGGCCGCGGCGUACUGAAUAAAGAACGGCCGGUGUUAACAGGUUGAACACGGUGAAUUAUUCAGGGGACAAAAACGGCGGGGGAAACACGUGACGGGGGCGAAGCCGACGGCACAUGAUCGAAGCUUCUCGGGCGGCGCCGCGCGCCACGGGGCGCUCCGACUGGCGCCAUUCGGCGUCAACACACGCGCCCC
This is a long non-coding RNA of Frankliniella occidentalis (western flower thrips), 1233 nucleotides long. RefSeq lists it as uncharacterized. The record is from RefSeq and is a predicted model, not a curated record. The transcript has 3 exons. NCBI's taxonomy places the organism in Eukaryota, Metazoa, Arthropoda, Insecta, Thysanoptera, Thripidae.